RNAcentral lists this long non-coding RNA (1219 nucleotides) under Chinchilla lanigera (long-tailed chinchilla). RNAcentral's name for it is "lncRNA (ENSCLAG00000027728.1)". The record is from RNAcentral. Lineage: Eukaryota; Metazoa; Chordata; Mammalia; Rodentia; Chinchillidae.
GAAGACUCCAAAUGUUGCUGAUAACCCUGAAAAUUGACCAAAACAAGGCUUCGUGGCUGAGCAGGUAACCACGGCCUGACGCUUAACUUCUAGCCUCUGAAGAUGAACUCACAAUGGGCUUUUAUUCCUCUCUGAAUCACAAUGAGCAGAGUCUCACCAACCCAGGAGAACUCACAUAAUAUACGCAAGGUUUCUGCCCCGUGUUUAGUUUCUGAUCCAGAGCCUUCUCUACCAUAAAUGGAACUGCGUAGCACUGGGUGGAAUCCCUCAGGGGCAGGUGAUGUCCAACAGGCAGCCAAGGCCAUUCAAGGUUCCUGGUAGUUCAUGGUUCCUGGCUCCUGCCUGCACUGGAGCUGAGACCCGGAAGCCUCUGGUUCCACUUUUAUAUUAAAGGUUUAAUCAUGAGGAACUUUUAGUAUGAAUUCUUUUUCGCUCCUCUACAAGAAUGUGUUAUUUAAGGUCAUAGAAUGUUCGGGAAAUCCUCCCAACGCAAUGCUCUUCAAUGCAAGCCAGCCCCAUGGUACCCAUACAAUUUGCUCCUCAGCCACGUGUGUCUUCAGGCAUCCAGGAAGACCCCAUGACAUCUUUGCUCUGUAAUAGGGAGCGAGAUCCAUGGUAAAUCAUUGCUGGGAUAUGUUUUUAAUUUAAGGUUCAAUGAGCUGCAAUCUAAAUAAACACUUUGGUGGGCCACUAGAAGCUAUUUAGAGGAAACAGCAAGAACAAUAUUCUUAACUUCUCCCAUAAUUUUGUUUGUAGCAUUUAAUUAUUAUGAAGCAGAAUUGUACGACAGACCAUGGGCUGCUGGCAUGUGCAGGAAGGUAGUAUUUAUUAAAAAGUCAACUGCUGACCUCUAAGCCCUAGUGCUAGUUGUCAUAGAGUCAUAUAUUUUUAUUGGACAAAAUCUUUGGUUUUAAAUUUACUGCAUUUAUCAUUGGGUAGUAAAACAGGUGCACAGAGAUGGAAAAUGCAAGGUCAAAAGUCAGAAGGGCUGAGACUGCUACAGCGUUCAGUUUUCCACCAGCGUGAGAUGUGGAGAAGACAGUUUUUGAAUGAGUUCCUGAACCAACUCAAGAAGGCACUCUGUGAAGACCUGGGCAUCCAGCCUGUAACAAGAAAGACAGAGCCACAGAACUUGGUGAAGGAGACCGGUUAUCACAAGCAAACAAAGACAAACACUGUAGUUUCAAAUUGCGGCAAGUUUCAUAAAAUAAAUCCGAUG